AUUGAACGCUGGCGGCAGGCCUAACACAUGCAAGUCGAAUGGUAACAGGAAACAGCUUGCUGUUUCGCUGACGAGUGGCGGACGGGUGAGUAAUGUCUGGGAAACUGCCUGAUGGAGGGGGAUAACUACUGGAAACGGUAGCUAAUACCGCAUAACGUCGCAAGACCAAAGAGGGGGACCUUCGGGCCUCUUGCCAUCAGAUGUGCCCAGAUGGGAUUAGCUAGUAGGUGGGGUAACGGCUCACCUAGGCGACGAUCCCUAGCUGGUCUGAGAGGAUGACCAGCCACACUGGAACUGAGACACGGUCCAGACUCCUACGGGAGGCAGCAGUGGGGAAUAUUGCACAAUGGGCGCAAGCCUGAUGCAGCCAUGCCGCGUGUAUGAAGAAGGCCUUCGGGUUGUAAACUACUUUCAGCGGGGAGGAAGGGAGUAAAGUUAAUACCUUUGCUCAUUGACGUUACCCGCAGAAGAAGCACCGGCUAACUCCGUG
Molecule: ribosomal RNA, 490 nt
Filed under: uncultured bacterium
Lineage: Bacteria
Description: partial 16S ribosomal RNA
Rfam family: Bacterial small subunit ribosomal RNA
Source: RNAcentral